CCUACGGGAGGCAGCAGUGAGGAAUAUUGGUCAAUGGGCGCGAGCCUGAACCAGCCAAGUCGCGUGAGGGAGGACGGCCCUACGGGUUGUAAACCUCUUUUGCCGGGGAGCAACGGGCGCCACGUGUGGCGUCACUGAGAGUACCCGGAGAAAAAGCAUCGGCUAACUCCGUGCCAGCAGCCGCGGUAAUACGGAGGAUGCGAGCGUUAUCCGGAUUUAUUGGGUUUAAAGGGUGCGUAGGCGGAUCGUUAAGUCAGUGGUCAAAUUGAGGGGCUCAACCCCUUCCCGCCAUUGAAACUGGCGUUCUUGAGUGGAAGAGAAGUAUGCGGAAUGCGUGGUGUAGCGGUGAAAUGCAUAGAUAUCACGCAGAACCCCGAUUGCGAAGGCAGCAUGCCAAGCCAUGACUGACGCUGAUGCACGAAAGCGUGGGGAUCAAACAGGAUUAGAUACCCUUGUAGUC
Molecule: ribosomal RNA, 460 nt
Filed under: uncultured bacterium
Lineage: Bacteria
Description: partial 16S ribosomal RNA
Rfam family: Bacterial small subunit ribosomal RNA
Source: RNAcentral